AGAGUUUGAUCCUGGCUCAGGACGAACGCUGGCGGCGCGCCUAACACAUGCAAGUCGAACGAGCGAGAGAGAGCUUGCUUUCUCAAGCGAGUGGCGAACGGGUGAGUAACGCGUGAGGAACCUGCCUCAAAGAGGGGGACAACAGUUGGAAACGACUGCUAAUACCGCAUAAGCCCACAGCUCGACAUCGAGCAGAGGGAAAAGGAGCAAUCCGCUUUGAGAUGGCCUCGCGUCCGAUUAGCUAGUUGGUGAGGUAACGGCCCACCAAGGCGACGAUCGGUAGCCGGACUGAGAGGUUGAACGGCCACAUUGGGACUGAGACACGGCCCAGACUCCUACGGGAGGCAGCAGUGGGGAAUAUUGCACAAUGGGGGAAACCCUGAUGCAGCGACGCCGCGUGGAGGAAGAAGGUCUUCGGAUUGUAAACUCCUGUUGUUGAGGAAGAUAAUGACGGUACUCAACAAGGAAGUGACGGCUAACUACGUGCCAGCAGCCGCGGUAAAACGUAGGUCACAAGCGUUGUCCGGAAUUACUGGGUGUAAAGGGAGCGCAGGCGGGAAGACAAGUUGGAAGUGAAAUCUAUGGGCUCAACCUAUAAACUGCUUUCAAAACUGUUUUUCUUGAGUAGUGCAGAGGUAGGCGGAAUUCCCGGUGUAGCGGUGGAAUGCGUAGAUAUCGGGAGGAACACCAGUGGCGAAGGCGGCCUACUGGGCACCAACUGACGCUGAGGCUCGAAAGUGUGGGUAGCAAACAGGAUUAGAUACCCUGGUAGUCCACACCGUAAACGAUGAUUACUAGGUGUUGGAGGAUUGACCCCUUCAGUGCCGCAGUUAACACAAUAAGUAAUCCACCUGGGGAGUACGACCGCAAGGUUGAAACUCAAAGGAAUUGACGGGGGCCCGCACAAGCAGUGGAGUAUGUGGUUUAAUUCGACGCAACGCGAAGAACCUUACCAAGUCUUGACAUCCCUUGACGAACAUAGAAAUAUGUUUUCUCUUCGGAGCAAGGAGACAGGUGGUGCAUGGUUGUCGUCAGCUCGUGUCGUGAGAUGUUGGGUUAAGCCCCGCAACGAGCGCAACCCUUACUGUCAGUUACUACGCAAGAGGACUCUGGCAGGACUGCCGUUGACAAAACGGAGGAAGGUGGGGAUGACGUCAAAUCAUCAUGCCCUUUAUGACUUGGGCUACACACGUACUACAAUGGCGUUAAACAAAGAGAAGCAAGACCGCGAGGUGGAGCAAAACUCAGAAACAACGUCCCAGUUCGGACUGCAGGCUGCAACUCGCCUGCACGAAGUCGGAAUUGCUAGUAAUCGUGGAUCAGCAUGCCACGGUGAAUACGUUCCNCGGGCCCUUGUACACACCGCCCGU
Molecule: ribosomal RNA, 1370 nt
Filed under: uncultured bacterium
Lineage: Bacteria
Description: 16S ribosomal RNA
Rfam family: Bacterial small subunit ribosomal RNA
Source: RNAcentral